Molecule: long non-coding RNA, 3089 nt
Organism: Gorilla gorilla gorilla (western lowland gorilla)
Lineage: Eukaryota; Metazoa; Chordata; Mammalia; Primates; Hominidae
Exons: 4
Source: RefSeq, a predicted model, not a curated record
GGCAGCCCCGCGCCCAGGCCGAGCAGAGUCAGGGCCGCCAGCGCCGUAAGCAGCAAGGGGAAGGGCAGGUUGUAGAGCACCAGGCCCCCGCGAACGCCCAGCCGCGCCUGCGAGCCGUAAGGGUCGUGUGGUUGGCAAGUCAUUUAACUUUUCCAAACAAAUCUGCAAAAUGGAGAUAACAGCACCUGCCUCAUUGCGUUGUGAAGAAGAUGAAAUGUUUAGCCCGGUGCCCAACACCCAGUUCUCACUCUGUCAUCCAGGCUGGUGUGCAGUGGUGCAAUGCGGGCUUACUGCAGCCUUGACCUCCAGGUCAAGUGAUCUCCCACCUCAGCCUCCGGAAUAGCUGGGACUACAGAGUCUUCUUUCUCCAGGACAAACACUCCGAGUUUUUCAGCUGUUCCUUGCAGGACAGGAUUCUGGGUUCUCACCAUGUGGAAUCUCUUCUCUGUUUGCUUCUUACCAGCUCAACAACGCCCCUCUGAAAGUAGGACUCUUGGAAAUGAACCUCGUUGGGAGUAAAGCUGAACCUUCACCUCUCCUUUCCAGGAUUCUACUCCAUUCAUACGGCCUCACACUGAAUUAAUGUUUCUAGCAGCCACAUCACUUUGCUACCCAACUGAUCUAGUAGUAAAGUCUUCCCCCCUCUUCAUGUACAACUGGUUUAUUGACUCUUAAUGUAGGAUUCUACAUUUGUUUGUUGUUUAUCUUGUUAGAUCCAGCCUGUUGUUACAAUCCUGUAGGAAGUUAACUGGAUCCUGAUUCUACAUAUAGCUGAUUGACAUUUUGGAGGGUUUUGCAAUAACCAUUUCCCUUCCUGACAGCAUCCUAACUUCCUUUGGGGGACCUGUAUCUGUUCCCAUGUGGGCAGUCUUGGCCAGAAUGCAGUCCUAGGGCCCCCUACAGAAGCUGAGGAGUCUGGAUCCUUCCUCUCACUUCCCCUUGUGAACUCGCUGGGAGCCUCCUUUGGAGAUGUUGAGAUUCCCUCCACAGGCUCAGAGCUGGCCCGGUUCCCUUCCUCAGUUUCUCCUGCGAAGGGCAGGUGUGUGAGUGCCUGACCUCCCAGUCCAUGCAGGGCCAUCUGGCUGCUUGCUGGCUGCCCUCUUUGGAACCAGGGGCCCCAAUCCCGUCGCGUUUCUAAACCACCAACCGGCAGGCAUUCUGAGAUUCCAAACAAAUGCAAGAGAGAUUAGGAUCCCUUUGGCUAGAGGCCAAGGUGAAAGCUGAUCCUGUGGAAAGAGGAGACUGGCUGGGGUGGAGGUGAAUGUAAGCGGGGAACACGAGGCGCGCAGGUGUGGACAGGGAGUAACUCAGCUCCAGAUGGAGCUCCCAGCAUCCUUCUGGAGACUCUGGGAUGGCGGGGAUAAAUGGAAGGUGACUCCAAGUAUACAAGGGAUGGUCAAUAUCUCCUGUUUACCAAGCACUUGGUCUGCCAAAAACUAUGCUACACACCAUUAUUCUUUUUAAGUCCUCAUGACAACCCUAGGUUUUAUGUUUUUCAUUAUACAGCUGGCAAGCUGAAGCUCAGAGAAGUUCAAUAACUUGUUAAACGUCAUGCAGCAACUAAGGGGCCAAGCCACAGGCCUGACUUUAGAACUAGUGCUCUUUGUUUUGAGAUGGAAUCUUGCUUUUGUAUUUUUAGUAGAGGCAGGGUUUCGCCAUGUUGGCCAGGCUGGUCUCAAACUCUUGGCCUCAAGUGAUCAGCCUGCCUCGCCCUCCCAAAGUGCUAGGAUUACAGGCAUGAGUCACCACGCCUGGCCAGAACCAGUGCUCUUAAUAGUAAUGACACCCUCCUGCCCCUCUGGAAGAACCUGAGAGAGGAAAGUGGGGGAGAUGGAAACCCCAGGCCUUCCAGGCAGCCCCUACUGUGUUAGGAGUUAAUUGAGUUCAUGAAAAUAGGCCCUCCAGUUUGGAUCUCUGUUGACUUCAAACCAACAGAGCUGAAAGUUGUUGUGACUCCCCAAGGAAAGAGUGAGAAAGAAAAGGCAAAGAAGAUGGGGCUGGCAAUGAUGAAAUCUCCUGCUUAGACAAAGCCCAGGACAGUUGGUUGGCAUUUUCGUUCUGGCUGGUUGCUCUGGCAGGCAUGAGAAAAUAAACAAAAGGGAGAACAGGUGAGAGAAAGUGCAGGCUGGUGAACCUUCUCUGUGCUCUGCCCACUGUCCUGAACUCUGAGGGCACAGGGAGUUAUACUCUUUUACCAAACUGGCCAAAUUCAGCCUGAAGGGUUCCUGGAGUCUUAACCUACUCAUUCUCAGAUUUUAGCUUCCACCAACACCAACUAAACAAACCUGAUCUUUUUAAAGAGGUUUUUUGUCUGUUUUCUGAGACAGAGUCUCUCUCUUUCACCCAGGCUGGAGGGCAGUGGCACAAUCUCAGCUCACUGUAACCUCCGCCUCCUGAGUUCAAGCCGUUUUCCUGCCUCAGCCACCCGAGUAGCUGGGACUACAGGAAUGCACCACCACGCCUGGCUGAUUUUUGUAUUUUUGGCAGAGAUGGGGUUUCACCAUGUUGGCCAGGCCGGUCUCAAACUCCUGACCUCAAGUGAUCUGCCUGCCUUGGCCUCCCAAAGUGCUGGGAUUACAGGCGUGAGCCACCACACCUGGCCAAGAGUUAUUUAUUUUUUGUGUGUGUGAAAUCUGAUGCCACUUUAAAAUCAGCAGAUCCUUACCCCAUUCCCUUUCACUCUCAAUUCCCACUUUCUGGAAGUAAUUAUUGUCAAGUCUUUCUGGUACUUCUGGUUAUUUCUUCUGGUAUUUAUCCUAUUUUCACAUCAGAUUUAUGCUGCUAAUGUUAAUUAUUUUCAGUUUUGGGGGUUAAUCUAUUGACUACUAUGAAGAUAAUAUGAAAAUGUAGCUCUUCUAUUACUUUCCAUAUUUUUCUGUAGUUUUUUGGUAUCAUUAUUCUGCAUUUACAAUACUAGAACUGUGAAACAAUUAUUCAAGCUGAUUCAAGAAGUGUGCUGUGAGGAUAAUUAUUCCCUCCCCAGACAUUGUUUCUCCUGCAGUAAGCACUGCUUGGUUUUUCAUUUGCUUAAUUUUCCAUGCAUCUAUCACUAAUUCAUUCCCCUUAAUCUUUCCUUAAAGUGAAAAACA